Molecule: ribosomal RNA, 252 nt
Filed under: uncultured bacterium
Lineage: Bacteria
Description: partial 16S ribosomal RNA
Rfam family: Bacterial small subunit ribosomal RNA
Source: RNAcentral
GCAAGUCGAGCGGAAACACAAGGGAGCUUGCUCCUGAGGUGUCGAGCGGCGGACGGGUGAGUAAUGCCUAGGUAUCUGCCCAGUCGAGGGGGAUAACAGUUGGAAACGACUGCUAAUACCGCAUACGCCCUACGGGGGAAAAGAGGGGACCUUCGGGCCUUCUGCGAUUGGAUGUACCUAGGUGGGAUUAGCUAGUUGGUGAGGUAAUGGCUCACCUAGGCAACGAUCCCUAGCUGGUUUGAGAGGAUGAUC